UGAUGAUGCUGAAGCUUUGGCAUAAAGUUUCAGCCUUGGGUAUAUUUAUAGGAAUUCCAUCCUCGUGUCAUGUUGUGGGAAAGCCUGGGAGCUAUUUUUGAUGUAACACUUUCCUUUGGAUGUCACAAUUAUCUCUGCAUUCAAGAGGCCACUUUCCAAUCUACUGAUGGAGUACUUGUUUUUCAUUUUUUUGCUCUAUGAUUAUUAGUUGUCAGUUAAAUCCCGUCUGUCUCUUUGCGGUCAUGAAGCACCCCCUCUCUCAAGAUGCAAGACACCACUUGUGCCAGCAGGAACCCUGCUGAGAUGGUGAACUUUCUUUUCAACUGACAUAUACUCAGAAGAGAUUUUCAGGAGAGUCCCUCCUUAUGCAUUUUGAGCACCCUGCGUUCCAUAAUAUUGGCAACUGCUGUGUUAUCUCCUUAUAAUAGUGAGUACUCAGAGCAGUACACAGAAGUCUGAUUAACAAUUUGUGACUGACAGGAGAGACCCCCAUCUUACUAUUCCAACUGCAGAAAAGGGCUUGUUUUCCUCAAACAUCCAAAGGUAAAGUAGUUACGUCAUUUCAUGUGUUUUUUGUGCUGCCAAAUUUGGGACAGAAAUAUUUCACCCUAGGAUUCAAGUGACUUUUUUUUAUUAUGUUUUCUGAACUUAUAUUGGAAACCCAGAAGUUGGCCAACACAUGCUAGGAAGGGUCAGUUACUGGGGAAAGAAACUAUGCAUUUUCUUUACUUUAGUGCAUUUAAAAUUUCUUGUUGUAACUUUGCUUUCUUCUUGCAUUUAAAUACUAUGUGUGUUUUGUUGAAUUCAGAUGUGAUCUAUGAAGUGUACCUUGGCAAAGCUGAGUGUGCACAAUUUUUAGUACUUCACUGAAGCAGCACCAUGAGCAUUGUGGUUUCUGUACU
Chrysemys picta bellii (western painted turtle) is the source of this 902-nucleotide long non-coding RNA. RefSeq lists it as uncharacterized. The record is from RefSeq and is a predicted model, not a curated record. NCBI's taxonomy places the organism in Eukaryota, Metazoa, Chordata, Testudines, Emydidae.